Molecule: ribosomal RNA, 261 nt
Filed under: Triticum aestivum (bread wheat)
Lineage: Eukaryota; Viridiplantae; Streptophyta; Magnoliopsida; Poales; Poaceae
Description: partial small subunit ribosomal RNA
Source: RNAcentral
AUAUGGAAGAACCCUCGAAGCCUAUCCCCGACGAUGAUGCCCCCUGGGCGAAAGGAAAGGGGUCGCCAUUCUCUUUCUUUCCUCAAUCGUUCCGGUCAUUUCUCUCAUUCAUUCCUUUUUGUUUGUUUUUUCGGGUUGGUUUGUUUCCUCCUCCUAUCUACGCAAUUCUCUGUCUUCGUUCGUGAUCAUCUUAGGCGAAAGGAUAGGUAUAAAUUUUGUGGAGGGGCGGCUGUGAAUGGGCGAUUCCCCCUUUUCCAUUGA